GGCCUGGUGGUGUAAUGGUAAAACACCUGCUUGCAUUAUCUGGGUUUUCGGGAGUUUUAAGCAGUGGAUCCUUGUUUGACUCAAGGCCAGGCCA
Mycena latifolia is the source of this 94-nucleotide non-coding RNA. The record is from the annotation of a GenBank genome assembly. Lineage: Eukaryota; Fungi; Basidiomycota; Agaricomycetes; Agaricales; Mycenaceae.